UAGGGAAUCUUCGGCAAUGGACGAAAGUCUGACCGAGCAACGCCGCGUGAGUGAAGAAGGUUUUCGGAUCGUAAAACUCUGUUGUUAGAGAAGAACAAGGACGUUAGUAACUGAACGUCCCCUGACGGUAUCUAACCAGAAAGCCACGGCUAACUACGUGCCAGCAGCCGCGGUAAUACGUAGGUGGCAAGCGUUGUCCGGAUUUAUUGGGCGUAAAGCGAGCGCAGGCGGUUUCUUAAGUCUGAUGUGAAAGCCCCCGGCUCAACCGGGGAGGGUCAUUGGAAACUGGGAGACUUGAGUGCAGAAGAGGAGAGUGGAAUUCCAUGUGUAGCGGUGAAAUGCGUAGAUAUAUGGAGGAACACAGUGGCGAAGGCGGCUCUCUGGUCUGUAACUGACGCUGAGGCUCGAAAGCGUGGGGAGCAAACAGG
RNAcentral lists this ribosomal RNA (428 nucleotides) under Gemmatimonadota bacterium. RNAcentral describes it as "Gemmatimonadetes bacterium partial 16S ribosomal RNA". It matches the Rfam family "Bacterial small subunit ribosomal RNA", at positions 355 to 776 of the family's 1533-position model. The record is from RNAcentral. Lineage: Bacteria; Pseudomonadati; Gemmatimonadota.